RNAcentral lists this ribosomal RNA (406 nucleotides) under uncultured bacterium. Its description in RNAcentral is "partial 16S ribosomal RNA". It matches the Rfam family "Bacterial small subunit ribosomal RNA", at positions 30 to 526 of the family's 1533-position model. The record is from RNAcentral.
AUUGAACGCUGGCGGCAGGCCUAACACAUGCAAGUCGAACGAGUGGCGGACGGGUGAGUAAUGUCUGGGAAACUGCCUGAUGGAGGGGGAUAACUACUGGAAACGGUAGCUAAUACCGCAUACCAUCAGAUGUGCCCAGAGGGGAUUAGCUUGAUGGUGGGGUAACGGCUCACCAAGGGGACGAUCCCUAGCUGGUCUGAGAGGAUGACCGGCAACACUGGAACUGAUCAACGGUCCAGACUCCUAGGGGAGGCAGAGGUGGGGAUGAUUGCACAAUGGGGGUAAGCCUGAGGAAGCCAUGCCGCGUGUAUGAAGAAGGCCUUCGGGUUGUAAAGUACUUUCAGCGGGGAGGCGUUACCCGCAGAAGAAGCACCGGCUAACUCCGUGCCAGCAGCCGCGGUAAUUC